This 77-nucleotide transfer RNA is filed under the name Salmonella enterica subsp. enterica. RNAcentral's name for it is "tRNA-Asn(gtt)". It matches the Rfam family "tRNA". Rfam says of the family: Transfer RNA (tRNA) molecules are approximately 80 nucleotides in length. Lineage: Bacteria; Pseudomonadati; Pseudomonadota; Gammaproteobacteria; Enterobacterales; Enterobacteriaceae. The record is from RNAcentral.
UCCUCUGUAGUUCAGUCGGUAGAACGGCGGACUGUUAAUCCGUAUGUCCACUGGUUCGAGUCCAGUCAGAGGAGCCA